CAGAGCGCAGCUAAACCAGAAAAGCACCUCCCCUACACCGAGAAGAUGCCCGUGCAAAUCGGGUCGCACUGA
This 72-nucleotide transfer RNA is filed under the name Argentina sphyraena (European argentine). RNAcentral describes it as "tRNA-Val". It matches the Rfam family "tRNA". Rfam says of the family: Transfer RNA (tRNA) molecules are approximately 80 nucleotides in length. Lineage: Eukaryota; Metazoa; Chordata; Actinopteri; Argentiniformes; Argentinidae. The record is from RNAcentral. RNAcentral also lists the same sequence under 1 other name.